RNAcentral lists this ribosomal RNA (258 nucleotides) under uncultured marine eukaryote. Its description in RNAcentral is "partial 18S ribosomal RNA". It matches the Rfam family "Eukaryotic small subunit ribosomal RNA", at positions 619 to 880 of the family's 1831-position model. The record is from RNAcentral.
UUAAAAAGCUCGUAGUUGGAUCUCGGCAGGUAGGGGGCGGUUCGUUUCUGACGGCACUGCCCCAUUUACCUGUGUUUUUGACGGAGGUUUCACGGUGAUUUUCAUCGAUUGUCGUGAUACGCCGUCAGGUUUACUUUGAAAAAAUUAGAGUGCUCAAAGCAGGCUACAAGCUUGAAUAUUUGUGCAUGGAAUAAUGGAAUAGGAAGACGUUUCUAUUUUUUUGGUUUUCGGAAAUUGACUUAAUGAUUAAUAGGGACA